UACGUAGGUGACCAGCGUUGUCCGGAUUUACUGGGCGUAAAGGGCGCGUAGGCGGACAGUUUAGUCAGAGGUGAAAGCCCAGGGCUCAACCUUGGAACUGCCUUUGAUACUGACUGUCUUGAGUUCGGGAGAGGUGAGUGGAAUGCCGAGUGUAGAGGUGAAAUUCGUAGAUAUUCGGCGGAACACCAGUGGCGAAGGCGACUCACUGGCCCGAUACUGACGCUGAGGCGCGAAAGCGUGGGGAGCAAACAGG
RNAcentral lists this ribosomal RNA (253 nucleotides) under uncultured bacterium. RNAcentral describes it as "partial 16S ribosomal RNA". It matches the Rfam family "Bacterial small subunit ribosomal RNA", at positions 524 to 776 of the family's 1533-position model. The record is from RNAcentral.